This is a long non-coding RNA of Coregonus clupeaformis (lake whitefish), 1500 nucleotides long. RefSeq lists it as uncharacterized. Lineage: Eukaryota; Metazoa; Chordata; Actinopteri; Salmoniformes; Salmonidae. The transcript is spliced from 3 exons. The record is from RefSeq and is a predicted model, not a curated record.
UGGUCUGGCUUCCUAUAUAGCUUGAUACGUGAACAUCGUGUGCUAAUACUCCUUCACUUGCUUGGGCACAUUUUAACCAGCUCAAAUAGAGCACAGUUGCAGGUCUCCAGACCAGAGCUGCAUCAUCACACCACUGCACAAAGAACCCAACCCCAGACCCACUGCAGACAUGAUCAUCAGACUGGGCAGACUGACCCCUGGAUACUUCCGUCUCCUCCAGAGACAGGUGGCCGGUGAGGUGCAGACCCAGCCACAUGACCGCGCGGUCAACCAGAUAGCCAUGAUGCUGGCCAUCAUGGGCCUGAGCCUGUCCUACUACAGUGCCAAACGGAUGACAGAGAAGGUCCAGAGGCUCCAGAAGAGAAGAGACUCCCAUACACCUUGAGGAGACCCCCAGUGCGCCGGUCUGCUUUGAACCCGGAGAGAAGACGAACCAACGCAGAGAUGUUGUGGAUAGAGGAGAUGAGGAGAGGAGACCUGGAGAUGACGGUGUCUGUGUCCAGAACAGCACCUUUUCACAACCAAUCAAUCGUAGUCACGUCGUUCAGACGCUGGAGUUUUACUGGGAUCACUCACCAUGCAAAGAGAGUUCGGGGGCUGCUGCUGUUGUUAAUUUUUCGCCCCAGUGGGUGUCGGGGGGGACCUUGUGAAGGGGGGCGGAUGUGGGAAAGACCAACGGCGGUGUGGUCCUGAUAAGGUUUUGUGAGCUGGUUUGGGGGGUAAAAAGUACAACCAGCUACCUAUGGUCAAGCUGGGCCCGAGCUUCAGCCGUUGCCAAGGUACGUGCGUGCAAGAUGCCGUCAAUACUGUUCUGAGCUAAAAAGGGAUAGGAAAAUACUAAAUAAAUUAUUCUAAUGUACUGUGAAUCCUGCCAGUGCUCCAAGCAUAUGUCAGUGGGGGUAAAAUAACUGAACAGUAAUUCUUUUUAAGGGAAGGCUAUCUGCAUUUGAGAUGUAUCUAGUAAUGACUGAAGGCUGUGGCUGAAAGUGAGGAGAAAGGAACCCUCUUAGGUUUUUGUAAUUCCUUAUUGUUUAAAAAAAUAAAAGUGAGUAAUGUGAACUAGAUGUGGAGUAGGAGUCUCAAACUGGUCAAUUAUUCCACAUGUUCAAUAUCUGUUGAUGUCAGACAAACAACCGUACAGUACUGGUGAAACAUAGUAUUUUAACGUUUGAACUUGCUUAUCCACAUCUACAAAAAAAAGGCACUUAAUCCAAAUCACAACUAUUUUUGUUUUUCACAAUGUUUCCAGAUUAAUCCAUUUAAAUCUUGAUAAAGAUCGGUGGCUUUCUUUUUAAAGAACUCUAUCUGCAAUAUCUACUAGGUGUUACCACAAAUAUUCUAACUUCAGUAAACCAUUGCAGCUUUUAAUCUCUACAUAAAACUCAAGAUUUCAUAAUACUGUCACGUUUCGUUUUUUCUAAAGAAUGAUAACCAUAAAUGUAUAUUUCUGUGAUGUUUAUGAAUAUCGAAUAAAGCUGUGACUUUUGAAUGAUAAGAACA